Molecule: ribosomal RNA, 433 nt
Filed under: uncultured bacterium
Lineage: Bacteria
Description: partial 16S ribosomal RNA
Rfam family: Bacterial small subunit ribosomal RNA
Source: RNAcentral
AACGAACGCCGGCGGCAUGCCUAACACACGCAAGUCGAACGAGACCUUCGGGUCUAGUGGCGCACGGGUGCGUAACGCGUGGGAACCUGCCCUUAGGUUCGGAAUAACUCCCCGAAUGGGGUGCUAAUACCGGAUAAUGUCUUCGGACCAAAGAUUUAUCGCCUUUGGAUGGGCCCGCGUUGGAUUAGCUAGUUGGUAGGGUAAAAGCCUACCAAGGCGACGAUCCAUAGCUGGUCUGAGAGGAUGAUCAGCCACGCUGGGACUGAGACACGGCCCAGACUCCUACGGGAGGCAGCAGUGGGGAAUAUUGGACAAUGGGCGAAAGCCUGAUCCAGCAAUGCCGCGUGAGUGAUGAAGGCCUUAGGGUUGUAAAGCUCUUUUACCCGGGAUGAUAAUGACAGUACCGGGAGAAUAAGCUCCGGCUAACUCCGUG